RNAcentral lists this ribosomal RNA (415 nucleotides) under Bembidion properans. Its description in RNAcentral is "SSU rRNA". It matches the Rfam family "Eukaryotic small subunit ribosomal RNA", at positions 1172 to 1489 of the family's 1831-position model. Lineage: Eukaryota; Metazoa; Arthropoda; Insecta; Coleoptera; Carabidae. The record is from RNAcentral.
AGGAGUGGAGCCUGCGGCUUAAUUUGACUCAACACGGGAAAGCUUACCAGGCCCGGACACCGGAAGGAUUGACAGAUUGAGAGCUCUUUCUUGAUUCGGUGGGUGGUGGUGCAUGGCCGUUCUUAGUUGGUGGUGUGAAUUGUCUGGUUAAUUCCGUUAACGAACGAGACUCUAGUCUGCUAAAUAGGCGUUAUUCCGGUAUCCUGAAGGCUCGUGUCUCUCGUUUUCUGUCGUGCUCUUGUUGUGGUGUAUCAUCGCUCAGGCGGUGUGCAUUGCACGGGGGUGCGUUUCAGUGCGAGAGUUCACGGUUUUUACUACCGGCGUACAUAUAAAUCUUCUUAGAGGGACAGGCGGCUUCUAGCCGCACGAGAUUGAGCAAUAACAGGUCUGUAAUGCCCUUAGAUGUUCUGGGCCG